This is a long non-coding RNA of Callithrix jacchus (white-tufted-ear marmoset), 615 nucleotides long. The record is from Ensembl. NCBI's taxonomy places the organism in Eukaryota, Metazoa, Chordata, Mammalia, Primates, Cebidae.
UUUUUAUUUGAAGUAAUCAUACAAUCCAUUCAUUAUCUGAAAUAAAUUCCUGUGCUCUUUUGUCUUAAAAUGCUGUCACUGUUGCUUUCACAUCUCUCAAAGUCAUCUCAAGAUUAAAAUCUACACUGAAAUUAAAGAACUCUGUUUAGCUAUCUCUUGGACCACAUUACUGUCCUUACUUUAAUUAGGUAUCAUAUGUAUAUAGGACAUUUGCUGCAAGGGAGCUGGCAGUCCUCAUCAAACUCCAGGAAGUAAAUAGGAGCUACUUUUCAUCUCAGUGCUCGAAUUCAUACGUGGAGGCAUCCAGCAGUUCAUAAUGAGCCCAAGGUCACCCGGUACAUGAAAAGCAGUCCUGAAAAUCAAAGCCAGGAUUUUGCAGCCUGAAACUUCUCCCUGAGAAUGGAAAUCUCUUCACAGAAUGUUCAGUCUCAUAGUUCUGAACCCUAAGAGAUAAUUUAGUUCAACAUCUUCGCUUUGCAAAUAUGGAAACAAAGAAAUGGGGUAUCACUACGUUCCACAGACUUGUCUUAAACCCUUGGCCUCAAAUGAUCUCACUUCAGCCUCUCAAAGUGCUGGGAUUACAGCCACGAGCCCCUCCACCUGGCCUAAACACGU